RNAcentral lists this transfer RNA (72 nucleotides) under Capra hircus (goat). It matches the Rfam family "tRNA". Rfam says of the family: Transfer RNA (tRNA) molecules are approximately 80 nucleotides in length. Their secondary structure includes four short double-helical elements and three loops (D, anti-codon, and T loops). RNAcentral also lists the same sequence under 1 other name. The record is from Rfam by way of RNAcentral. Lineage: Eukaryota; Metazoa; Chordata; Mammalia; Artiodactyla; Bovidae.
UCCCUGGUGGCUCAGUGGUGAAGAAUCUGCCUGCCCAUGCAGGAGACACAGGUUCAAUUCCUGGUCUGGGAA